RNAcentral lists this long non-coding RNA (1232 nucleotides) under Gadus morhua (Atlantic cod). RNAcentral describes it as "lncRNA (ENSGMOG00000029477.1)". The record is from RNAcentral. Lineage: Eukaryota; Metazoa; Chordata; Actinopteri; Gadiformes; Gadidae.
GAAAUGUGAAUAGCCGUUCACCAUAAAAUACACGAUGUCCCUGCUGUGCUGUCUGAGUCAUGUUAUUCCAGGGCAACAAAAUGAUUACGCUCCCUUAACCACAGGGGGAUCGCUCAAAUGCUGCCCACCGGGCCUUGGACAUGACACAGGAACCUGGUGGGCUGCAUGUCAGUGAAUGAAUCAACAAGGCUCAUCUGCAUGAAGGCCGUCAUGUGUUGGCAUCGAUCAUCGUCCAUUGAUGUGUGUGUCAAAGUGUUUGCCUGAAAGUGUAUGAAAGACUGCACAGACCAAGGUUUAGUCUUCCUGUUGUCGUGAAGAUUUGUAAAAAAUAACUGGUGUUUUUCUUCACACACACACACUUUCAUUAACGUACGAUGCAAUCGUUGUGCUCCUUAGACGCAAAAAGGAACAAGUGACCCAGAAAGAGGAAGAGGAGGGGGACAAGCCGGAGGAAGAGCGAGGCAGAUGGAUGCUGAGGGUGCAGCAGUUCAGCCGAUGACUCAAACACACGCGAGAGCGGCAAGGAGAGCCCGGAGCCCCGCCGACCCCCCUCCUUCCCCCGGACACAGCACCGCCUCCCCGAGCCACGGCUGCUCCUCCCGGGGGAGAGCGUGAGACGGGAAAGAGCGCUGUCGGGAACGCCAUCCUGGGGGGCCCUCGGGAACGCCACCCUGGGCAGAAGGAGCUGAACGACCACGGCCUGGACCUUCAAACCAAAGUCUCCGGGAGCUCAAGGCCGGGGGGGGAGGGGGGGGAGCUAGAAGGUAAAGAGGAGCGCCUCGGGGAACGGGAACAGGAGCGUCUCGGCUGGGGCGCGGAUUUAGAGACGCAUGGUCAGACGAUGAGUGACAAGCGGAAGCAACUCCAAGGCAUUGCCCGCAGUAUAUCUCAAGCCCAGGAGGGGUUACAUGGCCGAGAAAGGCAUCUGAAGGAGAUGAACGACGAGCAGGAAGGCCUUGAAUCAGGGCAAAUGGCGACCGGCUAUUGUGAAGGAGACGGGGAUGACUGCGUCAGCCAAAGAUCAUACAACACAACACGCAGCGGAAGACCCACUAGAUGCCAAUCCCAGUGGAUGGUCAGGAAGAGGAAGGAGGAGGAAGAGGAGGAGAAGAGGUUGAUGGGGAUCAGAUAGAGGGAGGAUCAAAGGGAAGAAACAGCUCUGUCAGCCCCCGAGAACAGAAGACAAAACAAAAACUGGGGGAGGGAGGAGCAGGGCCCGCCGGAGGGAAAGG